Molecule: non-coding RNA, 84 nt
Organism: Nematostella vectensis (starlet sea anemone)
Lineage: Eukaryota; Metazoa; Cnidaria; Anthozoa; Actiniaria; Edwardsiidae
Source: Rfam
AUCAGGAUGGCCAAGUGGUCUAAGGCGCUGCGUUCAGGUCGCAGACUGGUUCUCCAGGCGCGGGUUCGAAUCCCACUCCUGACA